CCUACGGGGUGCAGCAGUGAGGAAUAUUGGUCAAUGGACGAGAGUCUGAACCAGCCAAGUAGCGUGAAGGAUGACUGCCCUAUGGGUUGUAAACUUCUUUUAUAAGGGAAUAAAGUGAGGCACGUGUGCCUUUUUGUCUGUAUUUUAUGAAUAAGGAUCGGCUAACUCCGUGCCAGCAGCCGCGGUAAUACGGAGGUUCCGAGCGUUAUCCGGAUUUAUUGGGUUUAAAGGGAGCGUAGGUGGAUUGUUAAGUCAGUUGUGAAAGUUUGCGGCUCAACCGUAACAUUGCAGUUGAAACUGGCAGGCUUGAGUACAGGAGAGGUGGGCGGAAUUCGUGGUGUAGCGGUGAAAUGCUUAGAUAUCACGAAGAACUCCGAUUGCGAAGGCAGCUCACUGGACUGCAACUGACACUGAGGCUCGAAAGUGUGGGUAUCAAACAGGAUUAGAUACCCUUGUAGUC
RNAcentral lists this ribosomal RNA (460 nucleotides) under uncultured bacterium. RNAcentral describes it as "partial 16S ribosomal RNA". It matches the Rfam family "Bacterial small subunit ribosomal RNA", at positions 338 to 795 of the family's 1533-position model. The record is from RNAcentral.